Molecule: small nuclear RNA, 107 nt
Filed under: Myotis davidii
Lineage: Eukaryota; Metazoa; Chordata; Mammalia; Chiroptera; Vespertilionidae
Source: RNAcentral
GUGCUUGCUUCGGCAGCACAUGUACUAAAAUUGGAACGAUACAGAAAAGAUUAGCAUGGCCCUUGUGCAAGGAUGACACGAAAAUUCGUGAAACAUUCCAUAUUAAA